GUCUCUUCGGGGAUGAUUAAACCGGCGCACGGGUGAGUAACACGUGAGUGACCUGCCUUUUAGACUGGAACAACUUACCGAAAGGUGAGCUAAUGCCGGAUGAGUUAUAUAAGUGCAUGUUUAUAUAGGAAAAGUUGGGGAGACCUGACGCUGAAAGAUGGACUCGCGUCCCAUUAGCUAGUUGGUAGGGUAAUGGCCUACCAAGGCGACGAUGGGUAGCCGGCCUGAGAGGGUGGCCGGCCACACUGGGACUGAGACACGGCCCAGACUCCUACGGGAGGCAGCAGUGGGGAAUUUUGCGCAAUGCUCGUAAGAGUGACGCAGCGACGCCGCGUGAAUGACGAAGGCCUUCGGGUCGUAAAGUUCUUUCGACAGGGAAGAAAAUGCCUAUAAGUAACUGUGUAUGUAUUGACGGUGCCUGUAUAAGCAGCCCCGGCUAACUCCGUGCCAGCAGCCGCGGUAAUACGGAGGGGGCGAGCGUUGUUCGGGGUGACUGGGCGUAAAGAGCACGUAGGCGGUGUUGUAAGUCAUUAGUCAAAGACUAGAGCUCAACUUUAGUAAGGCUAGUGAUACUAUAAUACUAGAGUAUCAGAGAGGAUUGCAGAAUUCCUGGUGUAGCGGUGAAAUGCGUAGAUAUCAGGAGGAAUACCGUUAGCGAAGGCGGCAAUCUGGCUGGAAACUGACGCUGAGGUGCGAAAGCGUGGGU
Molecule: ribosomal RNA, 706 nt
Filed under: uncultured bacterium
Lineage: Bacteria
Description: bacterial SSU rRNA
Rfam family: Bacterial small subunit ribosomal RNA
Source: RNAcentral